GGGCACUGCAUGCUGAACAUAUCAAUUUUGCAAUUGUGGUUAUUAUUUAUCCAUAAAUUGAGUGUGGAUAAAGGGAAUGAUCACAUUUAUGGAUUUUUGGAACCCGAGUUAAUCCAAAAAAUUGGGAACAAGACAGAAGAAAUUCAAGCUUACAUCCAAAAUUGGAUGUCUGAAUCAAAUAAAAAAGUUUACUUAGUUCCUUACUUUUCUAAUGCUCAUUGGCAACUUCUGAUUAUUUGUCCUAUGGACAAUAUAUCUGUAUGCAUUUGUUCGAUGCACAA
Molecule: non-coding RNA, 281 nt
Organism: Cajanus cajan (pigeon pea)
Lineage: Eukaryota; Viridiplantae; Streptophyta; Magnoliopsida; Fabales; Fabaceae
Source: RefSeq, a predicted model, not a curated record